Molecule: ribosomal RNA, 791 nt
Filed under: uncultured archaeon
Lineage: Archaea
Description: bacterial SSU rRNA
Rfam family: Archaeal small subunit ribosomal RNA
Source: RNAcentral
ACGGCUCAGUAACACGUAGUCAACAUGCCCAGAGGACGUGGAUAACCUCGGGAAACUGAGGAUAAACCGCGAUAGGUCAUAUUUACUGGAAUGUUUUAUGGCUCAAAUCUACAUGGCCUCUGGAUUGGACUGCGGCCGAUCAGGCUGUUGGUGAGGUAAUGGCCCACCAAACCUGUUACCGGUACGGGCUCUGAGAGGAGGAGCCCGGAGAUGGGCACUGAGACAAGGGCCCAGGUCCUAUGGGGCGCAGCAGGCGCGAAACCUCUGCAAUAGGCGAAAGCCUGACAGGGUUACUCUGAGUGAUUCCCGCUAAGGGAAUCUUUUGGCAUCUCUAAAAACGAUGCAGAAUAAGGGGUGGGCAAGUCUGGUGUCAGCCGCCGCGGUAAUACCAGCACCCCGAGUGGUCGGGACGAUUAUUGGGCCUAAAGCAUCCGUAGCCGGUCUUGCAAGUCUUCCGUUAAAUCCAGCUGCUUAACGGAUGGGCUGCGGAAGAUACUACAAGACUAGGAGGCGGAAGAGGCAAGCGGUACUCAGUGGGUAGGGGUAAAAUCCUCUGAUCCAUUGAAGACCACCAGUGGCGAAGGCGGCUUGCCAGAACGCGCUCGACGGUGAGGGAUGAAAGCUGGGGGAGCAAACCGGAUUAGAUACCCGGGUAGUCCCAGCUGUAAACGAUGCAGACUCGGUGAUGGGCCAGCUUCAUGCCGGCUCAGUGCCGCAGGGAAGCCGUUAAGUCUGCCGCCUGGGGAGUACGGUCGCAAGACUGAAACUUAAAGGAAUUGGCGGGGGAGCAC